AAAAACUGAAAUGAAGAAACCGAAGAAGAAAAAGAGAAAGAGAUGGAGAUAUUUGAGAGAGAAGUAGAAAGAAGCUCAAAAUUCAUUAUCCACUUCUUCAUAUUUCAACAUCUCUCCAUUGAACUCCAAAAUUGAGGAACAAAUUUCUUGUUUUCGAGAUGAACAAAAUGCAAAAAAAAACUCAUAGAUUCAAACUAAAGAUACUCUAAGUUUACAAGAUUUAUUUAUAAAUAGUAACCAAAACGUAAGAAAAAUGAGAUUUUGAGAAAACUGCUAAAGACGGCCGCAAAAUUAGGUUUGCAGAAAAGGAUACACAGGUUGAAGAUGACUGGAAAAUUACAAUUAUAUCCUCCAUCGAAUUUCUUCUGUGUACGUAUAUUCAAUUUACAGUGUACGUACACGAAAUUAUUUAUUGAAACGUAUAUGGUACGAUUUCUAAUAACUCAAGCUAUUUUAUUACGUAUUCUUAUAUCUCAAUAAUCUCCAUACAUACAUAAUAAUUAAUUAAAAAUAGAUGGUG
This 520-nucleotide small RNA is filed under the name Arabidopsis thaliana (thale cress). RNAcentral's name for it is "ATSL263000". The record is from RNAcentral. Lineage: Eukaryota; Viridiplantae; Streptophyta; Magnoliopsida; Brassicales; Brassicaceae.